Molecule: ribosomal RNA, 432 nt
Filed under: Triticum aestivum (bread wheat)
Lineage: Eukaryota; Viridiplantae; Streptophyta; Magnoliopsida; Poales; Poaceae
Description: partial small subunit ribosomal RNA
Source: RNAcentral
AUGAAAGUUGCUCAUAACAACGAGACGAAUUUGAAUAUGCGGUCCGUUCAUCUGUCACAUGUCCCUAGCAUAGCGAACACGCAACUUUCCCCCUUUAGUUCAUCUGUCCGAAAACGAGAAACACCGGGGAUACUUUCCCGAAUGUUUCCCCCCUUCGCCGGUAUCACCUCCUACCGCGUUAGGUCACUCCCGGCGCAUCUUAUAGCCAUGUUAUACUUUGUGGUGCUAAGUUUGCUUUAUAUUUACUGUUUCUUCCCCCUCUUCUCUCCGGUAGACCCCGAGACCGAUGUUGCCCUUAUGAUCGACUACGUUGACGACGACCCCCCUCCUUGCCAGAGCAACCAGGCAAGCAAACCCUCCUUGAGCAUUCCGAUAUCGCCCAUUUCUUUCCCUCUCAUGCUUGCAUUAGAACUGCUACCGCUUUCUGUAUGA